CCGCAGUCGCUUCAGGCAGAGUCAAGCAGAUUCACUUUUAAGGCCCUGCCAGAAUGAACAGAGGACUGUGCCCACACCGUUGACCUGCCGUGACAAUAGAGGGCGUUGUGUGUCUCCCUCUCCUUUCGUCUGCACUGGAAUGAUUUCCACAGAGAAGCCCACGUUCAAGGGUAUUUCCCUCCCUGUGUAACCCUGACCGAGGCCUCAUGAACUUGCUUGCAUUGUCUCAAAAAUGUACAGACAUCCAGGAGACACUCAGGGGUUGCUCCAUGUUUUUGCCCAGAAAUG
This 288-nucleotide long non-coding RNA is filed under the name Urocitellus parryii (Arctic ground squirrel). RNAcentral's name for it is "lncRNA (ENSUPAG00010003338.1)". Lineage: Eukaryota; Metazoa; Chordata; Mammalia; Rodentia; Sciuridae. The record is from RNAcentral.